This 495-nucleotide ribosomal RNA is filed under the name uncultured bacterium. Its description in RNAcentral is "partial 16S ribosomal RNA". It matches the Rfam family "Bacterial small subunit ribosomal RNA", at positions 28 to 507 of the family's 1533-position model. The record is from RNAcentral.
GACGAACGCUGGCGGCGUGCCUAAUACAUGCAAGUAGAACGCUGAAGGAGGAGCUUGCUUCUCUGGAUGAGUUGCGAACGGGUGAGUAACGCGUAGGUAACCUGCCUGGUAGCGGGGGAUAACUAUUGGAAACGAUAGCUAAUACCGCAUAACAGUAGAUAUCGCAUGAUAUCUACUUGAAAGGUGCAAUUGCAUCACUACCAGAUGGACCUGCGUUGUAUUAGCUAGUUGGUGAGGUAACGGCUCACCAAGGCGACGAUACAUAGCCGACCUGAGAGGGUGAUCGGCCACACUGGGACUGAGACACGGCCCAGACUCCUACGGGAGGCAGCAGUAGGGAAUCUUCGGCAAUGGACGGAAGUCUGACCGAGCAACGCCACGUGAGUGAAGAAGGUUUUCGGAUCGUAAAGCUCUGUUGUAAGAGAAGAACGAGUGUGAGAGUGGAAAGUUCACACUGUGACGGUAUCUUACCAGAAAGGGACGGCUAACUACGUG